CGACUGUUGUGGGUCGUGUGUGGGUCUCGGGAGUGUCUGAGCUGCUGCAGAUGCCUCCUGCUGUAUGACGAUGUGCUGAGGAUGACUAUUAAGCGGAACUGGCCAGGUUCCAGUAUUGGAUGGCGAGCUAGAAGGCCUCGAGCCUGGACAUAUUGAGUGCGCCCGUCCGCCGGUGCGGUAGGAGGCGCUGCAGCCGCUCCCCACACACACCCACUUGCACACACGCACACUAACAACCUCCGCUGGUGGAUUGUUUGAACUUUGCAAGUUUUGCACAGACUGAAACCCGGGUUCACCAAACUUCAAGAUCUGAACUCUUUGUGCGCCUAAGUGGAUUUAUGAACUCUUCUUUCGCAGCAACGUGGAUUUAUGAACAAUACUGCUUGCGCCCUUGACCUAAACAACUCUAUAAAUACAUUGGACCCAUUUUAUUUUUGUUUUACAUCACACACCUUGUAAAUUAUUGUACAUAAUGUCUUUGUCGAUGGCACUUCUGUAAAUAAUCACAGCUGAGCUCAACUUGCACAUCUGAGUCUGGUUUUCAUUUAACACACCAUCUUCCUUCGAGCCAACCUACAUCUUCUGAUACUAGCCCAUUUCAUUGCACUACUAUUAUUAUUGGCAAUUAAUAUAUGAUUUUCAUAUUGCUGCAUUAUACAUGCUACAUCAGUCCUUAAAGGGUUAAGGUAAUAUGGGCCAAUUGACCUGGAAGUUUGAGGACCAAGAAAAAUUGGUCUAAGGGCCGCAUUUCGCCCCUGGGCCACAGUUUGGACAUGUCUGUUCUACGCAAAGCAACAAAAUUCGCAAGGAGUGCAAAUUUUGCUAGUGCAAUACAGCAGAAAAGUGUUAAAUUCAUCACUAAAUGGAACCAAAUAUUACUGAUUGAGAGCCGAUGUAAGACGCAUCACUUUUACUAACAGUGUACGACACAACUUAUACUUUCAGAACAUUUUUGUACCAUUUUGCUACCUACCUAUCCUAAAGCUUCCUCAAAAUCAUUUCAACCCACCUGGUAAUAUUUGGAUGUAUUUCUUUAAUUCAAAGUAAGUCACUACAAAGAAUUCCUGGAGGUGUAUUUAAAAAGCGAUGCAUUUGAAUAUUCUGUCAACACCGAGACAAUAAACGCACAUAUGGUGGGAGUGACACACAGGAUCCAACAGUGGCUCACCUGCAGUUAGUCUGGCUUCCUUCUCUCUCUCUCCCAACUUAUUUGUAUCCAACACAUCAAUCACAGUCACCUCCUAAUGACUUAUUCAUUAACUCCUCCAAAACACACGCACCAAUGAUGAGGCUCGAAGAAGCAUGUUUUCAAGACACACAGUGGUGCAGCCUGCAGUCAGCAUUCUGUGGAAUUAAAGCCACUAUUAAUCAAUUGAAAGUGUUGGAACGGAUCCCAGACACGUAAUCUUAGAGCUAAACAAUGGGAAGUGUGCUGGCUGCAUGUGUAUGAGGCUAUGUGGGUGAUAGCAAGAUAAAAUACAGGGGGUUAAAGGAAUGCAACAUGUAUUAUGCAACUCUGAGGAGAGAAUGAUACAGAUUAAUCACAUUAUGUAUGCAGCAGCUGCUUUUUCUGUGUUGUCCUGUGGAGAGCUGAAUGUAGAUUUAUUUGGCAAAUCUCACCUCGGUUCAUCCCAGUUUAUAAGUCCUGUAAUUUGUUUGAUGCGUGCAUUAAUGAGGGUACAAUAGCUACAAUCAAAGUGUUCAAUUCAUCUUACACUGUGGAGGAUUAUAGUGAGUUAAGAUUAGCUCUUCUUUACAUCUCUAUACUCGCUGAACAAUGUCAUGGAUGGUCCUAACCGGGCUUGGACAGAUGGGAUAUGGUGGUGUUAAAUGUAAAAUAUUUUCCUUGGGACAAACUGCAAUGCAUUUAAAUGAGCAGCAUUUUAUAUGUCAAUGGAUCUAGAAUACACACUUCAAUACUUUAUAAAGAUAUGAGUCUGGUCACUGGUGACAGGUGGAUUAGUCAUGCAUUAGACACGCAUGGUCCAUCCAUCUCAGGAUAAAAUAAAUAAAAUAAAAAAAUCACACAGAGCUGAAAAACAAUGUGGAUUUCUGCAGAAUCAAUGAGCAAAGCACUAAACUCUGCUGAUCUGACGUGAGAUAAAUUUGUUUUUUAAUUGUAAAUCAUAGGUGACCAAUGAGCUCCUCAAUUUCACAUGUGUCACUGAAAAAAAGAGCGUGGAGGACCAGACUGAUAUCAAUCAGUAUAAAAAAUACACAGAGGAAACAUUCUGGAUUUGCCAGGCUAAUGUUAUUUUAAAUGAAAGGAUGUAAAUAAUAUUUGAUUUGUUCCUUAGAGAGAUGAAAUUACAUGCAUCAUGUUGACUCAGAGUGUACGUAUGAUCACUUAUAGGAUAAGUGAUCGUACAUACAAAAUUGAUAAUGCACAUAGCAUCUGUCCUCUGAAGCUUCCCCGAGCAGGUGCUCUCUGCAGCAGGAAGUUCCUGUUUGACUCCCGAGGGUGCCCAGUUGAUGGAGUCCAGACAGUACAACUAUCUAAUACUAAUUCAUCAAUAUAUCACUCAUUUUAUCUCAAAUAUAGUUUUAUUGAUCUUAAAAAAAACAUCAUGAUUCCUCAUUAUGACACCGACAGAUGCAUGUAAAACUAAUGACACUAACUCAGUGAAGUAAAGACAGUUUAGAUGAUCACUUAUGUUAAGUUAUAAUAAAAUAAUAGUGAAUAGAUUUUGGGUGCAUCUGUUGGUCUAUUAUUUAGACAAACACAGUCAUUAACACUGUCAACAGCAUUAUUCAAAAGCAUGCACAGUUAUGUAUAUUAAUACAGACAAAUGAUUCAAAAUUCACAGUUUAAUGUGGUGA
Molecule: long non-coding RNA, 2820 nt
Organism: Periophthalmus magnuspinnatus
Lineage: Eukaryota; Metazoa; Chordata; Actinopteri; Gobiiformes; Gobiidae
Exons: 3
Source: RefSeq, a predicted model, not a curated record